UACGUAGGGGGCUAGCGUUGUCCGGAUUUAUUGGGCGUAAAGAGCGUGUAGGCGGCCAGGUAGGUCAGCUGUGAAAACUCGAGGCUCAACCUCGAGAUGUCGGCUGAAACCAUCUGGCUAGAGUCCGGAAGAGGAGAAUGGAAUUCCCGGUGUAGCGGUGAAAUGCGCAGAUAUCGGGAAGAACACCCGUGGCGAAGGCGGUUCUCUGGGACGGUACUGACGCUGAGACGCGAAAGCGUGGGGAGCGAACAGG
RNAcentral lists this ribosomal RNA (253 nucleotides) under uncultured bacterium. Its description in RNAcentral is "partial 16S ribosomal RNA". It matches the Rfam family "Bacterial small subunit ribosomal RNA", at positions 524 to 776 of the family's 1533-position model. The record is from RNAcentral.